This 372-nucleotide ribosomal RNA is filed under the name uncultured Saprospiraceae bacterium. RNAcentral describes it as "bacterial SSU rRNA". It matches the Rfam family "Bacterial small subunit ribosomal RNA", at positions 1012 to 1382 of the family's 1533-position model. Lineage: Bacteria; Pseudomonadati; Bacteroidota; Saprospiria; Saprospirales; Saprospiraceae. The record is from RNAcentral.
ACUUCUUCGGACAAUAUACAAGGUGCUGCAUGGUUGUCGUCAGCUCGUGCCGUGAGGUGUCGGGUUAAGUCCCGCAACGAGCGCAACCCCUGUUUCUAGUUACCAGCACGUAAUGGUGGGGACUCUAGAGAGACUGCCGGUGACAAACCGGAGGAAGGUGGGGAUGGACGUCAAGGUCAUCAUGGCCCUUAUGUCCUGGGCUACACACGUGCUACAAUGGCCGGUACAGAGCGCAGCGAUACCGCGAGGUGGGAGCAAAUCGCAAGAAAGCCGGUCUCAGUACGGAUUGGAGUCUGAAACCCGACUUCAUGAAGGUGGAAUCGCUAGUAAUCGCGCAUCCAGCAUGGCGCGGUGAAUACGUUCCCGGGCCUU